Long non-coding RNA from Cydia strobilella, 1010 nucleotides. RefSeq lists it as uncharacterized. NCBI's taxonomy places the organism in Eukaryota, Metazoa, Arthropoda, Insecta, Lepidoptera, Tortricidae. The record is from RefSeq and is a predicted model, not a curated record. The transcript has 3 exons.
CAUCAAACGAAAAGAUAUAAUCGGUACAACCUCCACCCUGGUCUGCAAUCAAAAUGUCACGGAACAAUUGCAGCCAGCCAAGCCGCCUGCAGGGUGAGUCACCCGAUGUGCGCCGCUUGCUGUAGCAGACUCGGUGCCCCCCACCGGAAGUGUACGUGCAGGCUUUGAAACAACUACCGCCUGGCCAUAAAGAACCUUGGCCAAUUUGGAAAUCCCUAAACAGGCUUAAGUCCCAAGUUGGUCGAUGUAAGCAAAACAUGGCCAUAACUCCUCGACUCAGUGUAUCUGCGACACAGCAACGCAAAUCAUGGCACAUCUAUUUUACUGGCGUGCCCCGCAUGCCCACAUCACUGCUCGGAACUGGAUCUGAGAGACGCGACAGCCAGGGCUGUCAACACCGCUGCCUACUGGGCAUCAAUCGUAUGAAAAUAAAAAUGGAACCACGACACGAAAAGAAGACCGCACAACUGAUGAAUCAACAUGCAAUACCUACACAAACAACUGCAGUAACUAUUCGAGCAAGAAACUGACAUCAAAAAGCUGCAAUCAAACAACCAACCUGCAAUACUGCCACCUACGAUCAACGUUUUCAGAUAAAGCUGCACAUGAAUAAACAACUCCAUCAAUAUCAUCUGCAGCCAUAUAUGAGCAAGCAACGCAGACCUUAUCAAAACAUUGAAAUGGCGCGACCUGCAGUUCAUUGUGCAGCGCCACGAAAGAGAAGGGAGGACAAUGCCGGCCAUCACCACAUCACACCACACACCACUGGACACGUCUCCUACAUCAGCAGCGGCAAAAUCUACUCAAACAGAAUUCAACAAUACGCCACACACGACGGUGAAGCUACCAGUCUCCUUCACUGCGACCUCGACACUACAGUACUGUCUUCAUCCACAAACAAACGAUCGACAAGCAGAGAGGAUACCAAAUGAUAUUCGCCGCCACCGGCUGCAGCCGAGACACCGAGUCACUACUACCUACAAACUACUGUCAACAAUGUCAACUUACAC